CCAGCCGUUGGUCUGGGUGUUUGGUGGCUCCACCCGGCUGAAUCUCAGGAAGAGCGAGAGAGCGAGCGAGCGUGUGUGAUAUUGGAUGCAUAAGGGCAUCUGUGGAUGAGUCUCUGGAGGUCUGUACUCUGAAAGGUGCUAGAAACAAAGCGUGUGAGUGUGAUCCGGACUCCAGAGCUCCUAACCCACCACGACCAUGGUAGGAAAAGGUGCCAAAGGGAUGCUGGUCACGGCUCUUCACUGCCCACUGCCUCAGAGCACAGGAGAGGUGGUGCGAAGCAGAGGGCAAGAGCAGGGCCAGCUCAUGGAUGGAUGGCUCAUGGAUGGACGGAGCAGGCCAGCUCUGAAAUCAGAAGGCAGGAAAAUACCCCAAGGGCGGCCAUUGUAUUCAUUCUCUGGGAAUAUUGCCUCAAGAACCAGUGAGACUGGGCAGCUGCCUGGGAGGAAGCCAGUGGCUAAGCAUGGCCCUUCCCUUGGCUCCUCCCUUCCCCAUAGGGAUUCUCCUAUUGCCAUUCUGAUUCAGUGAAAGACUGACCCAGGGUCUCUUGCAGAGCCCUCCCCAAACAAGCCCUGUCCCACCAAGGAUUUCUGGGACUCUUUUGUCCUCGGUCCAGAGACAUGCUGUUGGGGAGGGAGCCAAACAGUUGUGCUCCAGGCUGAGGACCCUGUCUCCUGCCUGGUCCUGAACUUCCAGCAUCCAGCUCUCAGUUCUGCCCUGGUCUGGCCAACUCCUGAUUGGAACAAGUCUGAAUGAAUUAGGCUUCUUAAAGUAUUCCUGAUCCAGCCUGAGCUCUAGAGUGCUCAGAUGUGGGCAGACAUGGAGGUCUCCAGACCCGCAUACUUGCUAGUGGGGAGUAGAUGCCAUAAUAGGAUCAAGACUGGCUUCCUUCUUGCCAGAAGUGUUGGAAUUGCCAUAGGCCUGUAGCAGAAAGUGGAAUGCAGCUCUGCCCCUCCCUCCAUGGAGAUUCUGAGUCCCGUGAAACUUAAGAAACCCUCUGAGGACUCACUGGGUGGUCUGCUUUCUGUGGAGUGACCCUGAAAGGACUGGGACGGGCAAGCAGGGGUGAUGUGGGACCCACGUGGGCAGCACAGAGAGCCUGAAUCCCAAGGUCCCAGAACCCCUGCCGGGGCUGAGCUUCCCAGACCCCAGGCUCUGCCGGCUAGUGCAUCUGUGGAAGGGAAUGCUGCCUUGGGACGCCUGUUCCCAGACCAGGAUGUACCUAAAGAUAGCCAGAGCAUAGUUUCCUUCGUGCCCUUUGGCCUUUGACAUGUGCCCACUGCUGCUGUGUCUGUGGCUCCGUAGCAGGUCCCCUGGGCACCCCCGGUGGUUGCUCGAGAUUCUAUUCUUUCUCAGUUCUGCUUAUGACCCUGGGCUACACUAUUCUCAGGACUCAGUUAGAAGCAGUGCUGCCUCCAUGUAGCCCUUGUCUCUGAGGAGCACCAUCCCUCUUUGCUAACCUGGGCAGCUGUAUCUGGACUUCACUAGCUGCCCGUGGUCCCCUAAGGGCAGAUCAUGAAGGAUGCUC
This 1526-nucleotide long non-coding RNA is filed under the name Bos mutus (wild yak). Its description in RNAcentral is "lncRNA (ENSBMUG00000004914.1)". The record is from RNAcentral. Lineage: Eukaryota; Metazoa; Chordata; Mammalia; Artiodactyla; Bovidae.